UACGUAUGGAGCAAGCGUUAUCCGGAUUUACUGGGUGUAAAGGGAGCGUAGACGGCGCUGCAAGUCUGAUGUGAAAGGCCGGGGCUCAACCCCGGGACUGCAUUGGAAACUGUGGAGCUUGAGUGCCGGAGAGGUAAGCGGAAUUCCUAGUGUAGCGGUGAAAUGCGUAGAUAUUAGGAGGAACACCAGUGGCGAAGGCGGCUUACUGGACGGUAACUGACGUUGAGGCUCGAAAGCGUGGGGAGCAAACAGG
RNAcentral lists this ribosomal RNA (253 nucleotides) under uncultured bacterium. Its description in RNAcentral is "partial 16S ribosomal RNA". It matches the Rfam family "Bacterial small subunit ribosomal RNA", at positions 524 to 776 of the family's 1533-position model. The record is from RNAcentral.